GCUGACGCUUGCAGAAAACGGAAGCUCCCCUAUGCCCUAUGGCCUAUGGCCGCUCCAUUGACCGUGGAGGUGGUGUGGAAUAUUGCGUUGCUUGCGCGAGCUCUUACGCAUCUUCUUCUCUUCGAGCCUUCCACAGUUCUACCUCCCGCCCGCUGGUCCCUAGCCGUCAAGAGAUUCCACGCUACUGGCUUUCUUGCCCCACGCCGUAUGGUUAUCGUCCAGCACGAGCGGAGAAACUGAAACACGAUCCCAACCAAUUCAGAACCCGAUUUGGUGAUCACCUCCAUUCUCGGUAGCACUUAAUUCCAGGGACAGCAAUAAGAAUUGCUCCUCUCCAAGUUCUUUUGGAGCGUAAUCUUAUCCGUUUGGGUCGGAUUGAUAUUUGAUAACUUGAUUGCCAUUUGGGGAGUUGCGGGAGAGAGAGAGAGAUGGGCCAGAGCAAGGCGGAGUUCUUGAAGCAGUUCGGUGGGGACUACGGUUACCCGGACGCGCCUAGGGGCAUCGACGAGCUGCGGGCCGCCGAGUUCAAGCGCCUGGAAGGGAUGGUUUACCUGGACCAUGCUGGUGCGACACUGUACUCAGAGGCACAGAUGACGGAUGUUGCUAGAGACCUUAUGUCUAAUGUCUAUGGGAAUCCUCAUAGCCAGAACGAUUCAAGCAUGGCUACAAUCGAUGCUGUUACUUCUGUGCGGCAUCAGGUCCUAAAAUACUUCAAUGCAUCUCCAAGGGACUACAAAUGUAUAUUUACAUCAGGGGCAACAGCAGCCCUAAAACUUGUUGGUGAAUGUUUUCCAUGGAGUAGAGACAGUUGCUAUAUGUACACAAUGGAAAAUCAUAAUAGUGUUCUUGGGAUAAGAGAAUAUGCUCUGAGCAAAGGAGCUACUGUAUCAGCAGUUGAUGUUGAAGAGGUUGUUGAUCCAUCAAAGAAUCAUGAGAGUGAUAGUUUAUUUAAGGUUUCAAAACGCUCAAACCAAAGAAGAGGUGACAAUGUGCUUUUGCACAAUUAUCAGAAUGGAAGCCUGUCAGCUAUUUCAGGAAACAAUUUAAAUCUAUUUGCAUUCCCUUCAGAGUGCAAUUUCUCAGGGCAUAAGUUCAACCUCAGCUUGGUCAAGCUCAUCAAGGAAGGAAAAUUUAUGGAUUUCUCAUCACAACAGCAGGGCCAGUGGAUGGUUCUGAUAGAUGCUGCAAAAGGAUGUGCAACUGAACCACCAAACUUGACCCUGUAUCCCGCUGAUUUUGUUGUCUGUUCAUUUUACAAGAUAUUUGGCUAUCCAACUGGUCUUGGUGCCUUAAUUGUAAAAAAUGAGGCUGCUAGUUUACUGAACAAGACAUACUUCAGUGGAGGAACGGUAGCUGCUUCAAUUGCUGACAUCGACUUUGUUCAGAAAAGAAAAGGCAUUGAGCAAACUCUUGAGGAUGGAACAAUCUCAUUCUUGAGCAUAUCUUCUCUUCGAUAUGGCUUUAAGAUAAUUGAUAUCCUAACUAUCUCAGCUAUUGCACGGCAUACUGCAUCUCUUGCUACUUAUGUGAGAAACAAAAUGCUGGAAUUGAAGCAUAGCAAUGAGAAAAAUGUUUGCAUAAUCUAUGGACAAGAUUUUAAGGCAAAUUAUCUGAAAAUGGGUCCUUCAAUCACAUUCAAUUUGAAAAGAGAAGAUGGCACAUGGUUUGGAUAUCGUGAGGUGGAGAAGCUUGCCUCAUUGUCAGGAAUUCAUUUGCGUACGGGCUGCUUCUGUAACCCUGGUGCAUGUGCUAAGUAUGUUGGUUUGUCACACUCAGAUCUAGUUUCCAAUUUUGAGGCUGGGCAUGUUUGUUGGGAUGAUAAUGACGUAAUAAAUGGAAAACCAACUGGUGCUGUGAGGAUAUCAUUUGGCUAUAUGUCCACAUACGAAGAUGCAGAGGAAUUUCUUAAGUUCCUGCAGUCAUCUUUUGUGUCCAAACCUGCAGAAUUGAACAAUGGCUACAUGGUGAAUAUGAAUACUCUUAGUUUAGUAGAUGAUUGGUGCCAGCAAGCUAUUUCAGAUAUUCGGUUAAAAUCCAUAACUAUCUACCCUGUGAAAUCUUGCCAAGGAUUUAGUGUGCAGAGCUGGCCACUGACAACUGGUGGUUUAAAAUAUGAUAGAGAAUGGCUUCUCCAAGGAUCAGGGGGUGAAGUUUUGACGCAAAAAAAGGUUCCCGAAUUGAGCUCUAUCUGCACAUUGAUUGACCUGAAGCUUGGGAAACUCUUCUUAGAAUCGCCAAAAUGCAAGGAUAAAUUGCAAAUCUCUCUUCUAAAGAAUCUGACUCAUCUGAGUGCAGAAGUAGAUGUAUAUGGUCAAAGGUAUGAGGUCCAAAGUUAUGGUGAGAAUGUAAACUCUUGGUUCAGUGAAGCUAUUGGACGUCCUUGUACCUUUAUGAGAUGCUCAAGUUCCAAGUAUCGUUCCUGCGUAACUAACGGCAAUAGAGAUCACCUCUGUAGAGAUACUCGAAGCAAACUUAGUUUUGUGAAUGAAGGACAGCUGCUUCUUGUUUCUGAAGAAAGUACAUCUGAUCUCAACAGCCGGUUAAGUUUAAGUAAUGGAAAUGGUAAACAACAGGUGUUUGCUGAUGCAAUGAGAUUUCGUCCAAAUAUUGUUGUCUCUGGGUCCACACCAUACAACGAGGACAACUGGAAAAGGCUUCACAUUGGGGAUGCCUAUUUUACUCAUGGGCAAGAAAGGAAGAAAAGAGCGAAAGGUGCAUUGAAGUUCUAGGAUGACAUGUAUUUGGAAAGCGAUUUAGAAUGCUAAAACAAGAGAGUGUAUCCUCGACCACAUGUGGGAAGAAGCCCCCUGGUCGUCAUUGAAAUAAGAAGAGAGGGAGCGUAUCACACUUCACAGUCCAUGGGAGGAUGCAACCGUUGUCAGAUGAUCAACCUAUAUCAGAGCUCAGGGCAGGUGAUCAAGUCAAAGGAACCGCUGGCAACUUUAGCAUCGUAUAGACGAAAACAUGGAAAGAUUUUGUUUGGCGUCCUGUUGAACUAUGAAGAUGACAUGGAGGGAGAAGAUGAUGCCAUUGUAGAGAGAUGGCUCAAAGUGGGGCAAGAGGUGUACCCUUCAACAUAAUAAUGACUUCCAUACAUGUGUACCAAACGAAAUGGUCUCUAGCCGAGUUGGUUAGGUGAUCUAAGUAACACUUCUCAGGUCCCGAGUUCGACUAUCCGUGGGAACGAAUUUCAGGCUCAUGCGUACCCAGAAGUUUCGCUAGGCUGACGGGUAACAAUUGCUACAAUACGUGAAAAGUAGACUUUCUCAAUACACCAUGUAUGUAAUAAUUUUCUUUUCACAUAUGUACGUAAUAGGGCAGGCCUCAUGUAGUGGUGAGAAUUGUCUCACUGAGUCAUGUUGUUACAUAAGAGGUUGAUGCAUGUAUUCAGACACAAAUAUAGAAAACAAAGAUACCACA
Molecule: RNA transcript, 3420 nt
Organism: Zea mays
Lineage: Eukaryota; Viridiplantae; Streptophyta; Magnoliopsida; Poales; Poaceae
Gene name: molybdenum cofactor sulfurase
Exons: 23
Source: RefSeq, a predicted model, not a curated record